This 2924-nucleotide ribosomal RNA is filed under the name Klebsiella sp. LY. RNAcentral's name for it is "23S ribosomal RNA". It matches the Rfam family "Bacterial large subunit ribosomal RNA". The record is from RNAcentral. Lineage: Bacteria; Pseudomonadati; Pseudomonadota; Gammaproteobacteria; Enterobacterales; Enterobacteriaceae.
GGGUUGUGAGGUUAAGCGACUAAGCGUACACGGUGGAUGCCCUGGCAGUCAGAGGCGAUGAAGGACGUGCUAAUCUGCGAAAAGCGUCGGUAAGGUGAUAUGAACCGUUAUAGCCGGCGAUGUCCGAAUGGGGAAACCCAGUGCAAUUCGUUGCACUAUCGUUAACUGAAUACAUAGGUUAACGAGGCGAACCGGGGGAACUGAAACAUCUAAGUACCCCGAGGAAAAGAAAUCAACCGAGAUUCCCCCAGUAGCGGCGAGCGAACGGGGAGCAGCCCAGAGUCUGAAUCAGCUUGUGUGUUAGUGGAACGGUCUGGAAAGUCCGACGGUACAGGGUGAUAGUCCCGUACACCAAAAUGCACAGGCUGUGAACUCGAAGAGUAGGGCGGGACACGUGGUAUCCUGUCUGAAUAUGGGGGGACCAUCCUCCAAGGCUAAAUACUCCUGACUGACCGAUAGUGAACCAGUACCGUGAGGGAAAGGCGAAAAGAACCCCGGCGAGGGGAGUGAAAAAGAACCUGAAACCGUGUACGUACAAGCAGUGGGAGCACCUUCGUGGUGUGACUGCGUACCUUUUGUAUAAUGGGUCAGCGACUUAUAUUCUGUAGCAAGGUUAACCGUAUAGGGGAGCCGCAGGGAAACCGAGUCUUAACUGGGCGUUAAGUUGCAGGGUAUAGACCCGAAACCCGGUGAUCUAGCCAUGGGCAGGUUGAAGGUUGGGUAACACUAACUGGAGGACCGAACCGACUAAUGUUGAAAAAUUAGCGGAUGACUUGUGGCUGGGGGUGAAAGGCCAAUCAAACCGGGAGAUAGCUGGUUCUCCCCGAAAGCUAUUUAGGUAGCGCCUCGUGAACUCAUCUUCGGGGGUAGAGCACUGUUUCGGCUAGGGGGUCAUCCCGACUUACCAACCCGAUGCAAACUACGAAUACCGAAGAAUGUUAUCACGGGAGACACACGGCGGGUGCUAACGUCCGUCGUGAAGAGGGAAACAACCCAGACCGCCAGCUAAGGUCCCAAAGUCAUGGUUAAGUGGGAAACGAUGUGGGAAGGCACAGACAGCCAGGAUGUUGGCUUAGAAGCAGCCAUCAUUUAAAGAAAGCGUAAUAGCUCACUGGUCGAGUCGGCCUGCGCGGAAGAUGUAACGGGGCUAAACCAUGCACCGAAGCUGCGGCAGCGACACUAUGUGUUGUUGGGUAGGGGAGCGUUCUGUAAGCCUGCGAAGGUGGCCUGUGAGGGUUGCUGGAGGUAUCAGAAGUGCGAAUGCUGACAUAAGUAACGAUAAAGCGGGUGAAAAGCCCGCUCGCCGGAAGACCAAGGGUUCCUGUCCAACGUUAAUCGGGGCAGGGUGAGUCGACCCCUAAGGCGAGGCCGAAAGGCGUAGUCGAUGGGAAACAGGUUAAUAUUCCUGUACUUGGUGUUACUGCGAAGGGGGGACGGAGAAGGCUAUGUUAGCCGGGCGACGGUUGUCCCGGUUUAAGCAUGUAGGCUGAUUAUCCAGGCAAAUCCGGAUAAUCAAGGCUGAGGUGUGAUGACGAGGCACUACGGUGCUGAAGUAACAAAUGCCCUGCUUCCAGGAAAAGCCUCUAAGCAUCAGGUAACAUCAAAUCGUACCCCAAACCGACACAGGUGGUCAGGUAGAGAAUACCAAGGCGCUUGAGAGAACUCGGGUGAAGGAACUAGGCAAAAUGGUGCCGUAACUUCGGGAGAAGGCACGCUGGUGUGUAGGUGAAGUCCCUGCGGAUGGAGCUGAGACCAGUCGAAGAUACCAGCUGGCUGCAACUGUUUAUUAAAAACACAGCACUGUGCAAACACGAAAGUGGACGUAUACGGUGUGACGCCUGCCCGGUGCCGGAAGGUUAAUUGAUGGGGUUAUCCGUAAGGAGAAGCUCUUGAUCGAAGCCCCGGUAAACGGCGGCCGUAACUAUAACGGUCCUAAGGUAGCGAAAUUCCUUGUCGGGUAAGUUCCGACCUGCACGAAUGGCGUAAUGAUGGCCAGGCUGUCUCCACCCGAGACUCAGUGAAAUUGAACUCGCUGUGAAGAUGCAGUGUACCCGCGGCAAGACGGAAAGACCCCGUGAACCUUUACUAUAGCUUGACACUGAACAUUGAGCCUUGAUGUGUAGGAUAGGUGGGAGGCUUUGAAGCGUGGACGCCAGUCUGCGUGGAGCCAACCUUGAAAUACCACCCUUUAAUGUUUGAUGUUCUAACGUUGGCCCCUUAUCGGGGUUGCGGACAGUGUCUGGUGGGUAGUUUGACUGGGGCGGUCUCCUCCCAAAGCGUAACGGAGGAGCACGAAGGUUAGCUAAUCCUGGUCGGACAUCAGGAGGUUAGUGCAAUGGCAUAAGCUAGCUUGACUGCGAGCGUGACGGCGCGAGCAGGUGCGAAAGCAGGUCAUAGUGAUCCGGUGGUUCUGAAUGGAAGGGCCAUCGCUCAACGGAUAAAAGGUACUCCGGGGAUAACAGGCUGAUACCGCCCAAGAGUUCAUAUCGACGGCGGUGUUUGGCACCUCGAUGUCGGCUCAUCACAUCCUGGGGCUGAAGUAGGUCCCAAGGGUAUGGCUGUUCGCCAUUUAAAGUGGUACGCGAGCUGGGUUUAGAACGUCGUGAGACAGUUCGGUCCCUAUCUGCCGUGGGCGCUGGAGAAUUGAGGGGGGCUGCUCCUAGUACGAGAGGACCGGAGUGGACGCAUCACUGGUGUUCGGGUUGUCAUGCCAAUGGCACUGCCCGGUAGCUAAAUGCGGAAGAGAUAAGUGCUGAAAGCAUCUAAGCACGAAACUUGCCCCGAGAUGAGUUCUCCCUGAGACUUUAAGUCUCCUGAAGGAACGUUGAAGACGACGACGUUGAUAGGCCGGGUGUGUAAGCGCAGCGAUGCGUUGAGCUAACCGGUACUAAUGAACCGUGAGGCUUAACCUUACAACGCCGAAG